UACAGAGGUCUCAAGCGUUGUUCGGAUUCAUUGGGCGUAAAGGGUGCGUAGGCGGCGCGGUAAGUCGGGUGUGAAAUUUCGAGGCUUAACUUCGAAACUGCAUUCGAUACUGCGGUGCUUGAGGACUGGAGAGGAGACUGGAAUUCAUGGUGUAGCAGUGAAAUGCGUAGAGAUCAUGAGGAAGACCAGUGGCGAAGGCGGGUCUCUGGACAGUUCCUGACACUGAGGCACGAAGGCCAGGGGAGCAAACGGG
This 253-nucleotide ribosomal RNA is filed under the name uncultured bacterium. RNAcentral describes it as "partial 16S ribosomal RNA". It matches the Rfam family "Bacterial small subunit ribosomal RNA", at positions 524 to 776 of the family's 1533-position model. The record is from RNAcentral.